Molecule: ribosomal RNA, 776 nt
Filed under: uncultured Neocallimastigales
Lineage: Eukaryota; Fungi; Neocallimastigomycota; Neocallimastigomycetes; Neocallimastigales
Description: partial large subunit ribosomal RNA
Rfam family: Eukaryotic large subunit ribosomal RNA
Source: RNAcentral
UAUAUCAGUCAUGCAUAGCAUAUCAAUAAGCGGAGGAAAAGAAACUAACAAGGAUUCCCUUAGUAACGGCGAGUGUAGCGGGAAGAGCUCAAAUUUGAAAUCUUCAAGGUUUUACCUUGACGAAUUGUAGUUUAAAGAAGUGUUUUCUGUUGAAGUUUUGGUAAAAGUUCUUUGGAAUAGGACAUCAUAGAGGGUGAGAAUCCCGUAUUUGACCAUUACUUUCAGCUUUGUGAUACACUUUCAAAGAGUCGGAUUGUUUGGGAAUGCAGUCCAAAAUGGGUGGUAAAUUUCAUCUAAAGCUAAAUAUUGGCGAGAGACCGAUAGCGAACAAGUACCGUGAGGGAAAGAUGAAAAGAACUUUGAAAAGAGAGUUAAACAGUACGUGAAAUUGUCAAAAGGGAAGCGUUUGACACCAGUGUUGUUUUCUCGAAAAUCAAUUAAAAAGAGUUGGAUUUUGUGUUGUAUUGACUUUAUCAGGCUUUCUUCACUCUUUUCCAGCUUUUUUUAAUGCACUUUUCGUUUAACAAGUCAACAUCAGUUUCUUUUGUUGUAAAAAGGUCAUUGGAAGGUGGCUUUCUCUUCGGAGAAAGUGUUUAUAGCCUUAGACUCAUGCAAUCGGAGAGACUGAGGUCUGCAGCGUAGAUCCUUCGGGGUUAGAUACAUUUGUGCUAAGUUAUAGCUUUUCAUAGACAACUUGUUGACUAUGUUUAGUCUUGUAGCUUACUCGCUUAUGCUAUUUUACCUACGCUUAGGAUGUUGAACUCUAUCACACACAG